UCUGUUUUUUUUUGUUUUCAUUUAGUUUUAAGCAUAAAGUGAUUUGUUCUGUUUUUGUUUUGUUUUGUGUUACUAUAGUUAAUUAAAAAGUGAAGUUUGAACAAAGGCGAUGGACUCGAGCAUGUUUCCGUAUCGGUAGUAUCUGUAGUCUAACACCGUACACUGUAUCUUCUAUCUGCAGCCCAAUCCACAUUCAAGUCUAACACCGUACACUGUAUCUUGUAUCUGCAGCCUAAUCCACAUUCAAGUCUAACACCGUACACUGUAUCUUGUAUCUGCAGCCCAAUCCACAUUCAAGUCUAACACCGUACACUGUAUCUUGUAUCUGCAGCCUAAUCCACGGAAGCAUAAAUUUAGGUUAUACGUUGAAAAAAAUUCAUCAAAAAUGUAUUUUUUUUCUAGAUUCAAGUCUAACACCGUACACUGUAUCUUGUAUCUGCAGCCCAAUCCACAUUCAAGUCUAACACCGUACACUGUAUCUUGUAUCUGCAGCCUAAUACACAUUCAAGUCUAACACCGUACACUGUAUCUUGUAUCUGCAGCCCAAUCCACAUUCAAGUCUAACACCGUACACUGUAUCUUGUAUCUGAAAACAGCCAUAAUCCACAUUCUGGAUUAAAUCUAAUUUCCCCCGGCCACAAAAGAAGGAGAGGUUCAAGGUAGUCGCUCGCAUUAACGCAUUAAUCUGAUGAUCACUUUUUGAAGGAUUGUUAGCACAAAAUGAUUAUAUUUGGAUACUAAUAAUUAUAUUUUGAUACUAAUAAUUAUAUUUUGAUACUAAUAAUUAUAUUUUGAUACUAAACACAAACAUGAAUGUUUAUUUUAUUGAAUAAGAAUGGGGGAGGAGUUUCUCAAAGAGAGUAUAGGGGUGUAUUCCAUAUGUGGGGACAGAGGAUGAGUGUAACGCGCAGAAGGAAGCGUCUAAGCUCCUGCAAAAUCUUCCACACCUUCCUGAGAGAUCCCUCGAUUCAAGGCUCCUUGGAGAUGCGGAUUUCCCCUAUCAUCUGUUGCAUUGGACGACGAGGUAAGCCUGUCGCUAUCUGUCAAAUGAUUGGCACCGACAAAACGUAUUUGAUUGGACUGUAGCAAACAUUCUACCAAGCAAAAAAUGUAAGACUUGGAUGCAUGGAAGACUCUUGAAGACCAUCGAAGAGCCCUCACUGAAUAAUUCCAAUUUAAUUUCCAUUACCUCCCGGAUUUCCAUUACCUCCCGCCCCCCCUUGUACGUAAUCGAUAUCGAUUCUUAGAGGACCCUCAGGGCCUCAGGUUUUGUUAUACCCAACAAGGUAUAUUUUAAAACGUUUAACACACAAUUUUGUGCCUACUUUGGUGGGAAUAUUUUCAAAAAAACCAAAAAAUAAAAAACGAAAAAAAAACAUGAACCCAGCAAUCCAUGCCCGACAACAGCCCCAAUUUCAAAUUCGAUAUCGUGUGAGAAUGCUGGAAAAUUUUCAGUAUUGUACGGAGCCUCGACAUUAAAACACAUACAAAUAAAAAUUCCAAAUUUCCAAAUUUUGUAAAAUAUUUAUUUCUGUUUUUUUUUUGUUUUCAUUUAGUUUUAAGCAUAAAGUGAUUUGUUGUGUUUUUUGUGUUUUUGUUUUGUUUUGUGUUACUAUAGUUAAUUAAAAAGUGAAGUUUGAACAAAGGCGAUGGACUCGGGCAUGUUUCCGUAUCGGUAGUAUCUGUAGUCUAACACCGUACACUGUAUCUUCUAUCUGCAGCCCAAUCCACAUUCAAGUCUAACACCGUACACUGUAUCUUGUAUCUGCAGCCUAAUCCACAUUCAAGUCUAACACCGUACACUGUAUCUUGUAUCUGCAGCCCAAUCCACAUUCAAGUCUAACACCGUACACUGUAUCUUGUAUCUGCAGCCUAAUCCACAUUCAAGUCUAACACCGUACACUGUAUCUUGUAUCUGCAGCCCAAUCCACAUUCAAGUCUAACACCGUACACUGUAUCUUGUAUCUGCAGCCUAAUACACAUUCAAGUCUAACACCGUACACUGUAUCUUGUAUCUGCAGCCCAAUCCACAUUCAAGUCUAACACCGUACACUGUAUCUUGUAUCUGAAAACAGCCAUAAUCCACAUUCUGGAUUAAAUCUAAUUUCCCCCAGCCACAAAAGAAGGAGAGGUUCAAGGUAGUCGCUCGCAUUAACGCAUUAAUCUGAUGAUCACUUUUUGAAGGAUUGUUAGCACAAAAUGAUUAUAUUUGGAUACUAAUAAUUAUAUUUUUAUACUAAUAAUUAUAUUUUGAUACUAAUAAUUAUAUUUUGAUACUAAACACAAACAUGAAUGUUUAUUUUAUUGAAUAAGAAUGGGGGAGGAGUUUCUCAAAGAGAGUAUAGGGGUGUAUUCCAUAUGUGGGGACAGAGGAUGAGUGUAACGCGCAGAAGGAAGCGUCUAAGCUCCUGCAAAAUCUUCCACACCUUCCUGAGAGAUCCCUCGAUUCAAGGCUCCUUGGAGAUGCGGAUUUCCCCUAUCAUCUGUUGCAUUGGACGACGAGGUAAGCCUGUCGCUAUCUGUCAAAUGAUUGGCACCGACAAAACGUAUUUGAUUGGACUGUAGCAAACAUUCUACCAAGCAAAAAAUGUAAGACUUGGAUGCAUGGAAGACUCUUGAAGACCAUCGAAGAGCCCUCACUGAAUAAUUCCAAUUUAAUUUCCAUUACCUCCCGCCCCCCCUUGUACGUAAUCGAUAUCGAUUCUUAGAGGACCCUCAGGGCCUCAGGUUUUGUUAUACCCAACAAGGUAUAUUUUAAAACGUUUAACACACAAUUUUGUGCCUACUUUGGUGGGAAUAUUUUCAAAAAAACCAAAAAAUAAGAAACGAAAAAAAAACAUGAACCCAGCAAUCCAUGCCCGACAACAGCCCCAAUUUCAAAUUCGAUAUUGUGCGAGAAUGCUGGAAAAUUUUCAUUAUUGUACGGAGCCUCGACAUUAAAACACAUACAAAUAAAAAUUCCAAAUUUUCAAAUUUUGUAAAAUAUUUCUGUUUUUUUUUUGUUUUCAUUUAGUUUUAAGCAUAAAGUGAUUUGUUGUGUUUUUGUUUUGUUUUGUGUUACUAUAGUUAAUUAAAAAGUGAAGUUUGAACAAAGGCGAUGGACUCGAGCAUGUUUCCGUAUCUGUUAUCAUUGUAUCAGACAACUCACAGCCUGGGCCUUUAUUUCAGUCAUAUAUAAAUUGUAUAUUAUGUUAGUAUGUUCUCAUGGUGCCCGAAGAAUUCGGAAAGUGUGGGAUUAUUCAGACUUUGUGGAAUCUCAAGUCUGGGCGUAGCAGGCCGUCCACCCCCACGCAGAUAGCGCUGUUGUGUACGUUGCAAUGGUAGACCUUUGUAAGGAACAUCAAAAACGGUGGUCGAGCCGGGUACGUCUGCGGAAAGUAAAGGCGUAGUUUAAAGUGGCCGCGGAGGCGGCGUACGCCUAAUUUGGAGCCCCGCAACUUGUAAGUUAGCGGCCAAAGCUCCCAUGACGGCAAGGUUACCGGUGCCACGUUGUGGGUCGGGAUUCUGGAGGAGCGUCACGAUCGGUGCGGUGUCCUGCACAGGACGGUAGUAUCUGUAGUCUAACACCGUACACUGUAUCUUGUAUCUGCAGCCCAAUCCACAUUCAAGUCUAACACCGUACACUGUAUCUUGUAUCUGAAAACAGCCAUAAUCCACAUUCUGGAUUAAAUCUAAUUUCCCCCGGCCACAAAAGAAGGAGAGGUUCAAGGUAGUCGCUCGCAUUAACGCAUUAAUCUGAUGAUCACUUUUUGAAGGAUUGUUAGCACAAAAUGAUUAUAUUUGGAUACUAAUAAUUAUAUUUUGAUACUAAUAAUUAUAUUUUGAUACUAAACACAAACAUGAAUG
Molecule: long non-coding RNA, 3846 nt
Organism: Drosophila miranda
Lineage: Eukaryota; Metazoa; Arthropoda; Insecta; Diptera; Drosophilidae
Exons: 21
Source: RefSeq, a predicted model, not a curated record